Molecule: long non-coding RNA, 3247 nt
Filed under: Marmota monax (woodchuck)
Lineage: Eukaryota; Metazoa; Chordata; Mammalia; Rodentia; Sciuridae
Source: RNAcentral
CACUAAUGGACCUGGGCUGCUGGAACCAGGGUCUUAGGGCUCCCUGGGCACUCACUCCCCUCGGGGGCCUUGGAUCCGGGGUGCCAGUCAGGACACAGAGACUGCAAGUGGCGUCACUCAGCAGGAGGGAGGCAGGCAGGCCAGGAUUGCAUCCAGAGCCGCGGGGCAGCCAAGCCCACUCCCCUUCUGCGGCACUUCCGCCCUGGGACUGCCCCUCACCCGGAGCAAAGGGUGGGUUCUCCCUUCUCAUUAGUUCAAGACCCCGCAGAGCAGAGGGGACGAGACGGGAGGGGCAGCCUGAGAGAGGAGCAGAGAAGGCGCGUGGCCCUCAGCACGCGGUGGCUGUGCCCAUGCGUCCUCCCGGUGGACAGGCACUCUGCCUGCUGCUGCGGUGCGGCUUGUCCUGGUGCCCCAUGGCGUGCGUGGGCCUGUGUCAGGGGCCCCCGGGGUGCAGGGGACUCUCUCUGCCCACGGGCAGUUCUGCACUGUCUCCGAGACACCGGGCUGCGACGUCACCAGCGGACGCUGUGUUUCCCUUGAUACUUUCAGGACUUUGUUUUGCCUUCCUUAAUGCAGGUGGGCUUUGUCCCCCCAAAGGAAGUGAGAAAUAUGACGAACUUGUCCUGGGCCACUCCAGAGGGCAAGUGCUUCCCCAGGGACCUGGGGCACCCUGACCCCACCCACACUCCCUUUCUGGUGUGCAUUGCCAGAGUCUCUGGCUGCCAGUCAUUCCCACUGUCUAUGCCGGUCCUGGUUCCAAUCUGAAGCCCAACAAAUGCAAGCAAGAACUCAAACUUGUCUUUGGGCCACUUUACAACUGUGUGAGCAAGUGGGUGCACACACCUGUGAUUCCAGAGGCUCUGGAGGCUGAUGCAGGAGGAUCGAAACCUGAGGCUGGCCUCCACAACUGACAAGACAAAAACAAGCUUGUGUGCCUGCAGCUCUUCAGUCCCCAGUUCCCAGAGCUGUGGCCACUUCCCUCCAGCCACAGCAGACCAUGACGGAAAGAAGGGAGGACCGAGGGGAUGGGCCCAGGAGAGGAGCCGCCCACACUGCAUGAACAGCCUGGAUCCAUGCACGCAGGAGCAGAGAGCAGGACACAGGGCCACGCCGCCCACGGCCUCCCUCCUCGUUCCUCCCAGCAGACAGCGGCCUGUUCUCACUUCGCGAGAGUCCAAACGUGUUUCCACACCUUUACGCAGAGGCCUGCUCCGAGGGAAGGCUCCAGGGUCACCUGGCCUCAGCCUGGGUGGGCCCUGGCACACCCUGACCGCUGUGGACUACACCAAACGCCUCUGGUGGACACACCUGGCAAAUGGGCUGCAGAUCCACUUCAAGGCUCUGGAUGACCAUUCCACGCUGCCCAGUGAGUGCCCAGUGAGUCCCUGCAGAGCUGCGAGCCCGGCUCCCCAGCUCCAUCACCACACGGGGCCUUGCCGUUGGUGAGAUGGCCCCCUGGGUGGCCAGUGAGACAGAGGCCCCCUGUGGCCCGGGGUGGUGGGUGCUCCGUGGGGUGAGAGGUGUGCAGAACCCUUCCUGCUCCGAGCUCAGGGAGGCUGGGGUGAGCACCUCACCAGGACAGCCAGACGCAGAGAGUGGCCUGCUGCCUGGGAGCCCAGCGCCCGGGCCAGCGCCCGCCUCUGCCCUGUGCAGGCAGCUGCGUGGCUUUGCUGGUGCUGGGCGCUGCUCAAGGAGGCCUCCAGUCUCCCUGCCCAGCCGCGCCCACUCCCACCACGGCGCCUCCUCCUGGCCGCUCCUGACGGUCUGGAAGGGUGGCCCUCGUUGCCCAAGGCCUCCUUCUGGUGGACAUCACCCCCUGUGCAGAGAUGGGUGGCCAGGACAGGGCCGAGACUGAACCCAUAUGGUCAGAAGUGAGAGCCGCGGGUCGGAGCCCAUCCUGGCACGGCCACCCCCGUCCUGCAUCUCUUGGGGCCAGUGGCCUCAUCUGCAGAAGCGGCUUGCCCCUGAGGUUGAGGAGGGACUGUGGACGGUGGGCGGGGCAGGGCUGCUGAGGGCCGCCCCCGAGGCCUCGUCCUGCCCAGCGGGCCUUCUGCCUGCGGUGACCGAUGGUGGUUCUCUCACCCCGGCCUCGUUCUGCUCAGGGUGCUCCCAGCUAGGGCUCCAACACCUAGAGACAAGUGACCCCGGGUUGGACCCUUGGGAGCCGCGGGGCCCCUCCCAGGACUCCCGGGUCCCCAGGAGCACAGGGCCCGGCGGGGAGUCGCAGGGACCCAGGCUGCAGCACCUUCUAGUCCCGUCUCAGCGCAGGUCCCCGGGCCUCCCCGGACCUCGAGAUUCACGUGGGGGAAAGAGCUGGUGGGGGACACGGCAGGCUGGGCACAUGGCUGCCUGUGGCGAAGGGAGUCCAAGGGUGACCCUGUCCUCACGUGGGAUUUUGAUAUUGUGCUCAUGAUGAUGUGUUUUUGUCACUGAUUCUAAUAUUUUAAAAUACUGGAUCAAAAUGCAAUUGCCAUUGAUCACCAAGUUUUUGGUGCCCCUGAAAUGUCACCGCCCUGGUUGGCCCUGCUGAUCCUUCUUUCCCACGGUGGCUCUGGGUUAGAGCUUGCGACCUCAGCUCCUAGGUGCAGCUGGGAACCCAGAGGCCUCUUGUGGCCCCUGGAAACCUGGGCCACGAAGGUCCUGCUGGACCCCAGAAGGGUACUUCGGGCCUGGCUGAGGACAGUUCACCUGGUGACUGGUAGAGCCAUCUUUGGUCACAGACAGAGGUGGCUGCAAAACAGUGACACCCGAGAAGCCUCUGAUGCAGUGCACUCCCUGUGCAACCUUGCACUGCAGUCCUGAUAAAAGGCAGACAGUUGGAUCCCCACACCUGCACUGUCUUUGUCUUCUGCAGCAUGCUGCAGACUGGGGGAUGGGGUGAGGGUGUCAGCAGGUGGCCUUUCAGAUGGCUACUUCACUUAGCAACAUGCACACCAGGGUCCUGGGCCUCCCUGUCCAAAUAACUCGUCCUCCUCCAUGGGUGGACCCCAGCCUGUUCACGCACCUUUCGAAGGAUGGCUUGUUGCCUCUGGCUUUGAGCAAUUGUGAAUGAAGCUUCUCUAACCCCUUCCUGGCAGGGAUUCGUAUGAGCCUCUGUUUAGCUCACUUGGGUAAGGCCGUGGGGGCGGGACCAGGCCUGUGAUCCCAGCAACUUGGGAGGCUGAGGCAGGAGGAUCACAAGUCAAGGCCAGCCUCAGCAAUUUAGCAAGACUCUGUCUCAAAAUAACAUAGAAAGGGCCGGGGUGUG